This is a non-coding RNA of Hordeum vulgare subsp. vulgare (domesticated barley), 124 nucleotides long. Lineage: Eukaryota; Viridiplantae; Streptophyta; Magnoliopsida; Poales; Poaceae. The record is from Rfam.
UUAUUACUCCCCCGGUCCAGAAUUACUUGUUUCAAAAAUGUAUAAAUUUGAUGUAUCUAAAAUUAAAAUACAUCUAGAUAUAUUCAUUUCUAUGACAAGUAUUUCUUGAUCGAGGGAGUACUGU